CAAGGUUCUGAGUGACUUAGGGAGCACCCAGUUUUAAGUCCCCUUUCCAUAUUCAAACACAGGCAAAUGGAGGUUUUGGGGACAUGAAUUAGUUUUGUGUUAGAUGCCAGAAUGCAUUUGAAUCGCAGGUGCUCUCUGCUGUCUGUUUGUUUAGGGAAAUCACUGCAACUCCCCACCUGUCUCCAACUCCUCCAGCGCUCAGCAAACUUCAACUGACAAAAUCCAGGCACGUGGUGAUGUGUAGCCCAGUCCUUCGUCUCAAGGUCAAAGGGUCAUCUACAGCUGUGCUCACACACCCUGGCUGUGACCAGGCCAUGGAGGAUUGUGAAUUUUCUGAGAAAGAAAAUGAGUUUCGGGGCGAGUUGGUGAACCAGCGGUGGACACGAGGCGGAGAGGACCAG
This is a long non-coding RNA of Myripristis murdjan (pinecone soldierfish), 401 nucleotides long. RefSeq lists it as uncharacterized. The record is from RefSeq and is a predicted model, not a curated record. The transcript has 3 exons. NCBI's taxonomy places the organism in Eukaryota, Metazoa, Chordata, Actinopteri, Holocentriformes, Holocentridae.